UAGUCCACGCCGUAAACGAUGUCAACUAGCCGUUGGGAGCAUAUAAGCUCUGAGUGGCGCAGCUAACGCGAUAAGUUGACCGCCUGGGGAGUACGCCGGCAACGGUAAUACUCAAAGGAAUUGACGGGGGCCCGCACAAGCGGUGGAGCAUGUGGUUUGAUUCGAAGCAACGCGCAGAACCUUACCAACCCUUGACAUACCUGUCGUACUUUCCAGAGAUGGAUUGGUCAGCUAGGCUGGACAGGAUACAGGUGCUGCAUGGCUGUCGUCAGCUCGUGUCGUGAGAUGUUCGGUUAAGUCCGGCAACGAGCGCAACCCACAUCUUUAGUUGCCAGCAGUUCGGCUGGGCACUCUAAAGAACUGCCCGUGAUAAGCGGAGGAAGGUGUGGAUGACGUCAAGUCCUCAUGGCCCUUACGGGUUGGGCUACACACGUGCGUACAAUGGUAAUGACAAUGGGUUAAUCCCAAAAGUUAUCUCAGUUCGGAUUGGGGU
RNAcentral lists this ribosomal RNA (493 nucleotides) under uncultured bacterium. RNAcentral describes it as "bacterial SSU rRNA". It matches the Rfam family "Bacterial small subunit ribosomal RNA", at positions 791 to 1304 of the family's 1533-position model. The record is from RNAcentral.